UCUGCCAGGAGCCACCAUUAGACAAGGCAACACUGGAUGGUUUUGACCCUGAAAAUGAAUUUUAGGAGGAUUUUCCUAGUCAAGUGCUUGCUUCUUUUAUUUGCCAGUGUAAAAUGCUCUGUCACCAAAUGGAUUUACGCGGCCGUAAAUGAGUCGGUUCUUCUCAGUACCCCCACUGCUGGGAGCAUAUAUGAUGCAACAUGGGUGAGAGACAGGAAAAAGUUGCUUCAGAUAAAAGAUAAGAAAGUUACGUACUAUGUGAGGAAGGAACAGUGCAGGUGUAAGGUAUUCAUGAACGGGAGUCUGCAAAUAGAGCAGGUGGUGAAACAGGACAGUGGACAGUACAGGGUGACUGUUUAUCACCAGGAUGGAAAAUUGCACACAGAAGAAGAGACAGAGUUCAUCGUUCAGGAGCCUGUCCCUCAGCCUAUCCUCAAUGCUGAAUGCAUAAAUAAAACCAUAUCUGUCAAGUGUGAAGCGCGGCAGAAGACUAAGGACGAAACAUUUAUAAUAGAACUGACUCAAGAUAAAAGCAAAAAAAUCCAAAAGAAUGCAACAAGCUUAGAAUUGCACACACGGUAUUCUGGGAUGUUCAGAUGUGUUGUUAAGAACCAAGUCAGCGAAAAAGCAGCUGAAAAAGUAAUUAAGUGCUCAGGCCAGCUGGACCUUUAUCUCAUCUUAAGCAUAGCAGGAGGUGCAAUCUUCUUUGUCAUCUUCAUGAUUUUGCUUAUUUAUUGUAUCAAGAAGAAGAAAGCAAAAAGGCUUGAAGAUGAUGACGAGGAGCGAAUGCCGCAGGCUCGCCAGGCAGACAGUGAAAUGGUGGUGCGGGAGCUCCCUCGGCCGCCGUGCAAUCCUGCCCCGAAGCAGCUGUGUGUGCAGCAGCGGCCGCUGCCGCAGCCCCAGGUGCAGCAGCAAGCACUGCCCCCGCGGCCCAGGCCCCGCACCCAGCAGCGGCCUCCAAACCACCCGAGACAAAGACCUUGAACGUCUGCCCUGGGGAGGACGGUGGCCUCUCUGCUCCACCAUCCACUGGGAAAAGAAAGUUCCCAAUCGUCAGGAACCCCUCCUGCCCAGCCUUGCGUAACGCUCAGCUAUGAAACGGCAGCUUCCGUUGCACAGAAUUAGAGAGAGCACCGAAUGGAGAUGAAGAGACCCAGUGGAGGAGAUUCAAGGGCCUCCUGCUGAUGAUGAAGGACCAUAUCCCUUGAUUCUGCUGGUAAGAACCUCAUGUAUAACCAGGUCAUGACAGAGAACUGCUGAGAGCUCUCCCUCCCCAAGGGAGAGGUUGGACUGCAGUAAUUGCGCCUGAAUCACCCUCCAUGUGCUGGACAAACACUGCUCGCUCCUCUGGUCCUUGGAGAUGUUCAUAAUUGUCUCUACGGGACAGCUAAGGAGCCAAGAAAGGACAGGGCUUUUUAGAGCAAUGUCUGAAUGGGUACACUGGUCCAUCUGGUGUAAGAGCAGCACAGGCAGAGGAGGAGAGAGCUGUGAGAGCUGCAGACUAUGAGACGUCCAGCUAGCACACUGUUGCAUUAGGCAGAAGGUGUAGCACCUCCUUCAGGCUUGACUAUCCUACACAUGCCAGGGGAGAUAAAACAGCCAUCCUUUGUUUCUCCUCAGAAAUGUGACUAUUUUUAUCUUCUGGUACAAAGGCAGGGAAGUAACUUGUCAGGGAGGAGGAGGUCUCUGCUUCCUCCAGAGCUCAGUCACUUUGCUUGAACUCCGACGGCGGACACAGCCCUGGGAGCAUCGCUUGCUCUUGCCUUAGCUUUCUGCAGCUUGUUUCAGGGCUUUCGCUGUUUAAAGUUGCAUUUGGUAAACAUUUCAUUGUUUAUUUUGUGACACACGCUAUAUCCCUGUAGUGAAUGAAUAAAGAUAAGAGUGAGUGGAGAGGA
This is an RNA transcript of Tyto alba (common barn owl), 1895 nucleotides long. It is a transcript of the gene named CD2 molecule, with no coding region annotated. The record is from RefSeq and is a predicted model, not a curated record. NCBI's taxonomy places the organism in Eukaryota, Metazoa, Chordata, Aves, Strigiformes, Tytonidae. The transcript has 6 exons.